Molecule: ribosomal RNA, 497 nt
Filed under: uncultured bacterium
Lineage: Bacteria
Description: partial 16S ribosomal RNA
Rfam family: Bacterial small subunit ribosomal RNA
Source: RNAcentral
GAUGAACGCUGGCGGCGUGCCUAAUACAUGCAAGUCGAGCGAACGGACGAGAAGCUUGCUUCUCUGAUGUUAGCGGCGGACGGGUGAGUAACACGUGGAUAACCUACCUAUAAGACUGGGAUAACUUCGGGAAACCGUAGCUAAUACCGGAUAAUAUUUUGAACCGCAUGGUUCAAAAGUGAAAGACGGUCUUGCUGUCACUUAUAGAUGGAUCCGCGCUGCAUUAGCUAGUUGGUAAGGUAACGGCUUACCAAGGCAACGAUGCAUAGCCGACCUGAGAGGGUGUUCGGCCCCACUGGAACUGAGACACGGUCCAGACUCCUACGGGCGGCAGCAGUAGGGAAUCUUCCGCGAUGGGCGGAGGCCUGGCGGUGCAACGCCGCGUGAGUGAUGGCGGUCUUCGGAUCGUAUGACUCUGUUAUUAGGGAAGCACAUAUGUGUGAGUAACUGUGCACAUCUUGACGGUCCCUCGUCAGACGGCCGCGGCUAGCUUCGUG